GACGAACGCUGGCGGCGUGCUUAACACAUGCAAGUCGAACGGAAAGGCCCUGCUUUUGUUGGGUUCUCGAGUGGCGAACGGGUGAGUAACACGUGUGUAACCUGCCCUUGACUUUGGUAUAACUUCUGGAAACUGGGGCUAAUACCUGAUAUGAUCUCCUGCUUCUUGGUUUGGGUUGGAAAGUUUCGGCGGUUGUGGAUGUACUCGCGGCUUAUCAGCUUGUUGGUGGGGUAGUGGCUUACCAAGGCUUUGACGGGUAGCCGGCCUGAGAGGGUGACCGGCCACAUGGGGACUGAGAUACGGCCCAGACUCCUACGGGAGGCAGCAGUGGGGAAUAUUGCACAAUGGGCGGAAGCCUGAUGCAGCAACGCCGCGUGCGGGAUGACGGCCUUCGGGUUGUAAACAGCUUUCGCCUGUGACGAAGCGUGAGUGACGGUAAUGGGUAAAGAAGCACCGGCUAACUACGUG
This 468-nucleotide ribosomal RNA is filed under the name uncultured bacterium. Its description in RNAcentral is "partial 16S ribosomal RNA". It matches the Rfam family "Bacterial small subunit ribosomal RNA", at positions 28 to 507 of the family's 1533-position model. The record is from RNAcentral.